GGAGAGGUGGCCGAGUGGUUGAAGGCGCACGCUUGGAAAGUGUGUAUACGAGCAAUCGUAUCGUGGGUUCGAAUCCCACUCUCUCCGCCA
RNAcentral lists this transfer RNA (90 nucleotides) under Amylibacter sp. RNAcentral describes it as "tRNA-Ser". It matches the Rfam family "tRNA". Rfam says of the family: Transfer RNA (tRNA) molecules are approximately 80 nucleotides in length. Their secondary structure includes four short double-helical elements and three loops (D, anti-codon, and T loops). Lineage: Bacteria; Pseudomonadati; Pseudomonadota; Alphaproteobacteria; Rhodobacterales; Paracoccaceae. RNAcentral also lists the same sequence under 2 other names. The record is from RNAcentral.